This 1628-nucleotide long non-coding RNA is filed under the name Homo sapiens (human). RNAcentral describes it as "HSALNT0300810". The record is from RNAcentral. Lineage: Eukaryota; Metazoa; Chordata; Mammalia; Primates; Hominidae.
CUGUAAUAAUUUUGCAACAGCAGUUUUAAUAGUCUCUAGUGAAGAACUGAUGACUUGGACAGAACAAAGGCCUCCCAGGAUACAAGAGCACUGAGCUGGGUGGCAGGAUGCCAACAGCACCCCCAGGGCUGGCCACUUUGUCUAGAUUGUUAAACAGAGAUAAAACCACAGAUACAGGGAGCAGGACCAGGUGAUUGUUACACUUUUAUAACUCCUUGACUUUUCAUACUACUAAAAUCUCUCCUGAUAAAUUCUCUGCCUGCCAUUUAAGACUAUUUCUGGUCUGGCCUAUCCCAACUCUUCCAACUUUAUGUCUUCCUGGUCCCCAGGCCCAUUCUCUGCCUGAUUCCAGGAUAAUGCUACACUGUCCAUAUACCACAUUUUCUUUUCUUGGCCUUUGCCUGGCUUGUGUCCCUCACUCAACUGUCCCUUCCUCUCCCUUGACCUCUCAGAUUCUACCACUCCCGCUAAGCCAGGGCCAACUGUUUUCUCCAGAAACACUCUGCCUCCUCCAGUUCUCAGUGACCAAUUAUCUGGAUGCCCACAGAAGCUUACUGUAGUGUCCUAUAUUUUCUAGCAAUUUUUUCACUUUAAACAUAGAAACAAGGACCUUAAUAAUUAAUAGUACAAGAAUGCUGUCAUAUAGUUUGUAAAAGAUUAUCAUAUCGAUUACAUCUUUGGAGCAUCACAACAGUCUCAUGAGGUGGGUAAUGGUUGUUAUCUCUGGAGAGUUCAGAAAACCAAAGUUCAAAGAGGGAGGUUUUUUGUGCUUGCUUAUGGUAAAACUACCAGCAAGUGGCAGCAUUAAAAGACCGUACCACUGGUAAAAGGCAUAGGGGGUUCCCUAAAACUCGAAACAGAGGAGUUUAAUGAAUGGCUGUCUUUGUUGUCUAGACCCGAGGGAGGGACAAGACAGUGGACUUUAAAGAACAGCUGCACGUGGAGCUGUGACUGUCAUCCACACACUCAGAUAAAUGGUUGGCUCAUUAUUGCAGCUGCUGCUGGCUUUAGGGAGCUGGACAGCUGUUGCCAGGAGAUGGAUUCAAACAGAACAGAGAAAACGGAAUCCUGUGAUAAUGACUGUGCCUGUAUGUAUGGACACGAUGUUCUUUCUUCUCAUAGCUCAAAAUGUUCUAAAGAUAAAAUCUAAUGAUUUCUUAUAGGAAGGCUAGGCUUGGUGGGUACAAGUAAGAAAGCCAAGCAGAGAGAAGCUUCCUGGUCCUUCUCCACCUUUCCCUUUCCUCCAGUCUGGACUUUGCCUUCUCCACCUCCUUGGAAGACAGGCUGCUCAUCCCAUUGUGGUGUCUCGGCUGGUGUAUGUUUUCUGCCUAGGCUUAAUGGACAGCACGAGGAGGUAGGGACUGACGUUACCCAUGUUUUACAGUGGAAGAACCUGAGGCUUAAAGAGAUCCUGAGCUUUAAAAUAGCUAGCCAAACGAAAACACCAAUGGAGACUCUUUGGAAGGGACUGUGCUCAGUCUGAGGACCCAGAGCCAAGUCACAGACAUGACCUCAAAAGCCAGUACUGUGCUCUUCCACAUGGCAUCCACUGGCCACGUGUGGUGAUUUAACAUGUGAAAUGAAGUCUCAAGGCUGAGAUGUGAUGCGAGUGUAUAAUACACACUAGA